Molecule: long non-coding RNA, 526 nt
Filed under: Brachypodium distachyon (stiff brome)
Lineage: Eukaryota; Viridiplantae; Streptophyta; Magnoliopsida; Poales; Poaceae
Description: long non-coding RNA (BDIS_LNC002518)
Source: RNAcentral
ACCCUUCUAAUCUCGUGUGGUUUCGCGCGCUCUUAACCGACAGCCGCGAAGGAGCAGUGUUACGCCGUCAGUUUGGUGCCAUCGCACGGCCGUUUUUUAAGUUUUUUUUUCUUCUCCACCGGUGCGACGCGAUUCGGUCCGGGCCUGGCUUGCUUGUGGAUCCGGCGGACGUGCCGGUUCGGGGCUUAACUUAGCGCCCCAAGCUUGCAAGCCUGGCGCACCGGGGACUGUUCGUUCAACUCAUUCUGCCUAUUUUCUUUUCUCUCUGUUUUCUCAUGUGAACGCUCGCAGCUCACAUCAUUUAGAUGUCGUUGUGGGGAGUUAGUUGGGUUGCUAUACUAGUUUAUGCUACUCACACGAAUACAAAGAAUAGACAAAUACGAUUAGAGUACUUGGUUAAUUGUUAGUACUACUCCAGCAUAUAUGGAACUGACGAAUCCGGAUGUUGCCAAUAAGCGUGUUGACGCUGCAAUUCUUACCACAAUAUUUGAGAAUUAAACCAGUAUGUUUGAACCAGGCGUCCAUG